CCUACGGGCGGCAGCAGUGGGGAAUAUUGGGCAAUGGGCGCAAGCCUGACCCAGCAACGCCGCGUGAAGGAAGAAGGCUUUCGGGUUGUAAACUUCUUUUCUGAGGGACGAAGAAAGUGACGGUACCUCAGGAAUAAGCCACGGCGAACUACGUGCCAGCAGCCGUGGUAAUACGUAGGUGGCAAGCGUUAUACGGAUGUAUUGGGUGUAAAGGGCGUGUAGGCGGGAAAGCAAGUCAGAGGUGAAAACUCAGGGCUCAACCCUGAGCCUGCGUGUGAAACUGUUUUUCUUGAGUGCUGGAGAGGCAAGCGGAAUUCCGGGUGUAGCGGUGAAAUGCGUAGAUAUACGGAGGAACACCAGUGGCGAAGGCGGAUUGCUGGACAGUAACUGACGCUGAGGCGCGAAGGCGUGGGGAGCAAACAGGAUUAGAUACCCGUGUAGUC
RNAcentral lists this ribosomal RNA (443 nucleotides) under uncultured bacterium. RNAcentral describes it as "partial 16S ribosomal RNA". It matches the Rfam family "Bacterial small subunit ribosomal RNA", at positions 338 to 795 of the family's 1533-position model. The record is from RNAcentral.